CCCGGCUCUAGGUAUGUGGAUUUUGUGCCAGUUUGAAUGGGGAUGGCACUACCCCUGUGAGGAUUCCUUGGAGGCUCCAAAAGGAACUUGGAUGAGGUAUAAAAAUGGUGAAUUUAUUAGUUUAAAAUAAACAUAAAAACAAAGAUGAUAAAAGUCCUCAAAUAAAAGUCCUUUAAAAAUGGCCAAUACGCGUUUCACUCUCAAAUAGAGC
This is a non-coding RNA of Pelobates cultripes (western spadefoot toad), 211 nucleotides long. NCBI's taxonomy places the organism in Eukaryota, Metazoa, Chordata, Amphibia, Anura, Pelobatidae. The record is from the annotation of a GenBank genome assembly.